ACAUAUGAGGGUUGUGGUGUGGGACUCAAUUUAGCUCAACAAGCAACAAGUGUUGUGGAGGCAAUCAGGCCAUACUGGGAGAUUCUUUCAGAUGGAUGCAGAAGGGAGAAGGAAGGUCUUUACUGUGCAUCCUCGGUGGGACGGACUAAGACGCGAGGAAGGAAGGCAAGUGGAGGAGCUAGGGAUGCAAUGUAAGGACCUGGGAUGCAGCAAAUGAAGGCUGCUGCAGGCUGAGGCUGGAGAGCAUGUUAAGCUGCUGGAGAAACACCCCGAGAGACUGUUUCUGAUUGAAGAUGAAGACGCUGAAAGACUAUUCUUUUAAAACCUGAACUGCAAGACAGAGCGCAGAGUCAAGUAGAGGCUGGAGCUGCACCCCUGUGUGUUGGCCGUCUCGAUGAGUGCCGACCUGGAGUGGAGGUCGCCUUAAGACACGUGUUCGUUGAGUCAGCAGGCCCAUCUUCAGACGCGAACAAAAGAACUUCAUGGAUGAAAGCUAAUUACGCGGUGUGGCGAGAAGACGGGGCGGCGUGCAUAAUGCAGGAAACGGGGAGCCGAGGUGGUUAAUUGGGGUAUGUGAUUACACAGGGCUGUAGUUAGAGGGAAUUAGGCAACAACACACUCUGCA
Molecule: long non-coding RNA, 625 nt
Organism: Perca flavescens (yellow perch)
Lineage: Eukaryota; Metazoa; Chordata; Actinopteri; Perciformes; Percidae
Exons: 3
Source: RefSeq, a predicted model, not a curated record